RNAcentral lists this small RNA (513 nucleotides) under Pan troglodytes (chimpanzee). Its description in RNAcentral is "processed transcript". The record is from RNAcentral. Lineage: Eukaryota; Metazoa; Chordata; Mammalia; Primates; Hominidae.
GGACUUCAGAGACUAGGGGUAUCUCCAGGCCUCCUGUGCCUCUAAGUAGGGCUGUCAGGAUGUGUCCCCCAUCACCUCUGCCCCCGCCAUCUCUGAAGGUGAUGGCCGUGCAGGCUUAGGGCUAUGUUCUGCAGGUGAGGGUCUCCUACUUUGGGGAGCAGGAAGACCAAGCCCUGGGCCGCAGCGUGCUUUACCUCACUGGCGUCGCUAUUUCCCUUGAGGUUGACACAGGCCGCACAGGCAAGGUGAAGAGAAGCCAAGGGGAUAAGAAAACCUGGCGCUGGGGCCCUGAGGGCUAUGGGGCUAUCUUGCUGGUGAACUGUGACCGGGACAAUCACAGGUCCGCAGAGCCUGACCUCACCCACAGCUGGCUGAUGUCGCUGGCUGACCUGCAGGACAUGUCCCCAAUGCUGCUGAGCUGCAAUGGCCCCGACAAGCUCUUUGACAGCCACAAGCUUGUCUUGAACGUGCCCUUUUCUGAUUCCAAAAGAGUGAGGGUCUUCCGUGCCAGGG